AGUGAACGCUGGCGGUAGGCCUAACACAUGCAAGUCGAACGGCAGCACAGUAAGAGCUUGCUCUUACGGGUGGCGAGUGGCGGACGGGUGAGGAAUACAUCGGAAUCUACUUUUUCGUGGGGGAUAACGUAGGGAAACUUACGCUAAUACCGCAUACGACCUACGGGUGAGAGCAGGGGAUCUUCGGACCUUGCGCGAUUGAAUGAGCCGAUGUCGGAUUAGCUAGUUGGCGGGGUAAAGGCCCACCAAGGCGACGAUCCGUAGCUGGUCUGAGAGGAUGAUCAGCCACACUGGAACUGAGACACGGUCCAGACUCCUACGGGAGGCAGCAGUGGGGAAUAUUGGACAAUGGGCGCAAGCCUGAUCCAGCCAUACCGCGUGGGUGAAGAAGGCCUUCGGGUUGUAAAGCCCUUUUGUUGGGAAAGAAAAGCAGCAGGUUAAUACCCCGCGGUUCUGACGGUACCCAAAGAAUAAGCACCGGCUAACUUCGUG
This 492-nucleotide ribosomal RNA is filed under the name uncultured bacterium. RNAcentral's name for it is "partial 16S ribosomal RNA". It matches the Rfam family "Bacterial small subunit ribosomal RNA", at positions 29 to 507 of the family's 1533-position model. The record is from RNAcentral.